Molecule: long non-coding RNA, 596 nt
Organism: Cygnus atratus (black swan)
Lineage: Eukaryota; Metazoa; Chordata; Aves; Anseriformes; Anatidae
Exons: 5
Source: RefSeq, a predicted model, not a curated record
UUUCGCAGGGCUGGCUGGGAUUCCUCAGCGUGUUCCCCGUAGCUCAACGAGCUGUCCGUGAUCCCAAGCUCAUGGCAGGUGCCGGGGAGAAGACAUCGAUCUCCACAGAGCUAGUUUUUCUCUCGAGUGCUGCACAGUUGAAGUACAGCCGGCUGAAUUUCACAAAGGAGAUGCUACCACCCCUUACUGGAGAGCGCCUGACAUUGCGACUGCCAGAAGUAGCAAGAACAUGCGUUGUGCCUUAAAAUCAGUGCCUGGCUGAUCGCUUAAACCUUCUACCUGUGCUUGUGGGUGUGAUUUGGACUGCACUAAGAGAAACACAGGUUCUGCUUCAGCUCCACAGACCAGCCCUACUUGAACAGAAGGUAAAGGCGCCCAGCGAAAAGCACCCAGAUACUACAAAAGUUACAAAGCGGUCUGACUAUUCUGUUCAUUCUGUUCCUACCAGUACUGCGAAGGGAAAAACAGGUGAUCAAUCUUCAUGAUCCGUUCCGUGGCGAGCUGGGAAAAAAAAAUGCAGUUGCUAAUCAAUGUCUGAACAGUCUGAAGCUCCGGAAGAGAUCCAAGGAGUCACUAUCAAACUAUCCUGUAGCAUG